GACAGAGGGUGCAAACGUUGUUCGGAAUUACUGGGCGUAAAGCGCGUGUAGGCUGCUCGGAAAGUCGGAUGUGAAAGCCCUGGGCUCAACCUAGGAAGUGCAUUCGAAACUUCCGAGCUGGAGUACUGGAGAGGAAGGCGGAAUUCUCGGUGUAGAGGUGAAAUUCGUAGAUAUCGAGAGGAACACCAGUGGCGAAGGCGAGUCCCUGGACAACACCUGACACUGAGGCACGAAAGCUAGGGGAGCAAACAGG
RNAcentral lists this ribosomal RNA (253 nucleotides) under uncultured bacterium. RNAcentral's name for it is "partial 16S ribosomal RNA". It matches the Rfam family "Bacterial small subunit ribosomal RNA", at positions 524 to 776 of the family's 1533-position model. The record is from RNAcentral.